Molecule: ribosomal RNA, 461 nt
Filed under: uncultured bacterium
Lineage: Bacteria
Description: partial 16S ribosomal RNA
Rfam family: Bacterial small subunit ribosomal RNA
Source: RNAcentral
CUACGGGAGGCUGCAGUCGAGAAUCUUCCGCAAUGGACGAAAGUCUGACGGAGCGACGCCGCGUGCGGGAUGAAGGCCUUCGGGUUGUAAACCGCUGUCAGUGGGGAGGAAAUGCAUCAGGGUUCUCCCUGGUGUUUGACCGAUCCGCAGAGGAAGCGCAGGCUAAGUUCGUGCCAGCAGCCGCGGUAACACGAACUGCGCGAACGUUAUUCGGAAUCAUUGGGCUUAAAGAGUUCGUAGGCGGCCUUUCAAGUCGGGUGUGAAAUCCCUCGGCUCAACCGAGGAAUUGCGCCUGAUACUGUUGGGCUUGAGGGGGGUAGGGGUGAGCGGAACUGAUGGUGGAGCGGUGAAAUGCGUUGAUAUCAUCAGGAACACCGGUGGCGAAGGCGGCUCACUGGAUCUCUUCUGACGCUGAGGAACGAAAGCUAGGGGAGCGAACGGGAUUAGAUACCCGGGUAGUC